RNAcentral lists this ribosomal RNA (253 nucleotides) under uncultured bacterium. Its description in RNAcentral is "partial 16S ribosomal RNA". It matches the Rfam family "Bacterial small subunit ribosomal RNA", at positions 524 to 776 of the family's 1533-position model. The record is from RNAcentral.
UACGUAGGGUGCGAGCGUUAAUCGGAAUUACUGGGCGUAAAGCGCGCGUAGGUGGUUCGUUAAGUUGGAUGUGAAAUCCCCGGGCUCAACCUGGGAACUGCAUCCAAAACUGGCGAGCUAGAGUAGGGCAGAGGGUGGUGGAAUUUCCUGUGUAGCGGUGAAAUGCGUAGAUAUAGGAAGGAACACCAGUGGCGAAGGCGACCACCUGGGCUCAUACUGACACUGAGGUGCGAAAGCGUGGGGAGCAAACAGG